CCUACGGGAGGCAGCAGUAGGGAAUUUUCGGCAAUGGGGGGAACCCUGACCGAGCAACGCCGCGUGAACGAAGAAGUUAUUCGUAAUGUAAAGUUCUUUUAACAGGGAAGAAAGAGAAAUUUGACGGUACCUGAAGAAUAAGCUCCGGCUAACUACGUGCCAGCACCCGCGGUAAUACGUAGGGAGCGAGCGUUAUCCGGAAUUAUUGGGCGAAAAGGGUGCGUAGAUGGAAUAGUAAGUCUUUUGUAAAAAUGCUGGGCUCAACCCAGUAGGGCAAAAGAUACUGCAAAGCUAGAGUAUGACAGAGGCAAGUGGAACUACAGGUGUAGCGGUAAAAUGCGUAAAUAUAUGUAAGAACACCAGUGGCGAAGGCGGCUUGCUGGAUCGAUACUGACAUUGAGGCACGAAAGCGUGGGGAGCAAACAGGAUUAGAUACCCCAGUAGUC
RNAcentral lists this ribosomal RNA (446 nucleotides) under uncultured bacterium. Its description in RNAcentral is "partial 16S ribosomal RNA". It matches the Rfam family "Bacterial small subunit ribosomal RNA", at positions 338 to 795 of the family's 1533-position model. The record is from RNAcentral.